This is a non-coding RNA of Mycena polygramma, 104 nucleotides long. The record is from the annotation of a GenBank genome assembly. NCBI's taxonomy places the organism in Eukaryota, Fungi, Basidiomycota, Agaricomycetes, Agaricales, Mycenaceae.
GCCUCUGUGGAUCAUGGUACCAGAUCGCCUCGAUUUUAUAGAGGGACGUGCAUUAGGUAGGCUAUCUCAUUGAGGGAGUGGAGGUUCGAUUCCUCCCAGAGGCA